RNAcentral lists this long non-coding RNA (2871 nucleotides) under Pan troglodytes (chimpanzee). RNAcentral's name for it is "long non-coding RNA NONPTRT014525". Lineage: Eukaryota; Metazoa; Chordata; Mammalia; Primates; Hominidae. The record is from RNAcentral.
AUUUUUUCUAAGAAUCAACCUCCUAGUGAGGCCUGCUGUGAACACCCUACUAAAAAUUCUACUCCCUCACUUUCCCGAUCCACCUUGCCCUGCUCAUUUAUCCCAUAAAUGUGUUGCUUUAUAACAUUCUAUGUCAUCUACUUUGUUUGUUUGUUUAUUGUCAGGAGGGCAGAGAUUUUUUUUUUUGGUCUGGCUCAUUCAUCUAGAAUAGUUCUUGGCACAUGAUAGACACCCACUAAAUAGGCAUUGACUAUUAAAUGAAUUAAUCAAUAAUGUUUUCCAGAACCUACUAUGUGCAAAGUUCUAUCAGCCCCCAACACAAUGAUUAUCUCAUUAGGAGCUAAUCCAAAACUAAUCCAUCUGGUCCACACUAUGGUAUAAUACAUGUUCUCUUUACUUGACCCUUGCGUUAGUGUCUGACAUGACUAUUAAAGCUGAGUUGGAAUGAACUGAGUCUCACACUCAGGCUUUGCAGAUGUCAUUUCAUUUCAUCCCCAUGAUGAUACUGUGAGAUAGAGAUCAUGAUUCUCACUUAUUGGGUGAUUAAACUGAGGCUUGGAGUUUAAAGGACCUGCCCAAAGUUCAGGGUCACCCAGCACUGGUUUCAAAGUGAAGUUAUCCACCUAUGCAGCCUGAGAAUUGUUAACAAGUCAUUACCUGAAUGAAAUAGGACAGUUACAGUCAUAACACUGCAUUGCAAUGUUUUGGCUAAGGGACGAUUUUUAAUCCAAUCUCUAGUUUUUGGAUUAUACAUGAAUUGUGAAUAACACCUGUAUCCCAGAAAUUAAAGCUAGUGAUGCUCAUUGAGAACUGAGUAUUUCUCCAUAAGCGAAUUGGCUUCAGAUCAACCUAAGUGGUCUCCCAACUAACAGAACUCUAUUCCAGCUUAUAAUUUUUACUCAUGCUGCUACAUGGGCUGGAAAUGAUUCUCACUUGAAGUUCAUGCUUGAAUCCCUAGAACCCUUUCCUAUUAAAGUCCUGUCUAAAGUAUCCCAUUACGGUAAGGACGAAGGAGAUUGUAAAGGGCCAACAUGAAUUCUCAAGGCUCAUUUAAUGACUUAAUUUCCUUCAGUUACUCUGGGCUGAACUUCUCCUGUUCUACCCACAAGCUUCCCAGAGUCCUCUGUGACCAGAAUCGAAGCAUAGUGUCUGAAAGUAGCCUGGCCACACAAGAUGUGCAAAACACUAUAACCUCUUCACAGCCUCACUCCACUUUGUAUUUGAGGGAAAUGAUUCUAGAAGCUGAAAUAGACCAGAGUUCAACAGUCUGGGAAAUUUGAAGAAGGAAAAAGGAAGAGAGAAAAAAAAAAACCAAGCCCUGCAUUUGCAGAGAUGUGAAGAGAACCCAGCUCUCUGAAGUUGGAAGGAAGUGAGAAGACCCUAUUUGUGGCUGCAGGAGAGGAAAAGAAAAGAGACCCGCAAGGAAACUACCAACAGAUGGUAAAUACAUUUUUAAUUCUUCUGUCUUACUGUGUGGACUUGUGCACAUUUGUCCUGCUGUGUUAGGCUCCCGAAAUAGCUAGCCAUGGAAUUGCAGAACAGUUCUGCUGCAAUUUGAGAUUUAGGAAACCAUGCUAGCUGACAAAACAGGAAGGGCUCAUAGUAGGAUGGAGUGGAUUUGCUCCCAGUUUGCAGCUCCUCAAUGUGGCAUCUGCUGUCAUUCUUAGUGCAGGAAAAUUCUCUCACAUGUCAGGUCUCAUUGGUGAUGUUUUGCAACAUACUAUCUCAAAUUGCCCCCCGAGCCCUGGUUAUAAUUAUUAAAUGUUGACACUAUGCAUAUAACUCCCAAAGAUUAAAGAGAGUGAGGUCCAUUGAUUUAUGAAUCCUGAGUCCUCCAGGGAACAUCACAAACACACAUGGCAGCCAGAUCUCUUCACCUAGUCUUCCUCAUACUUUUGGUAUGAGGUUGCUCUACAAGAACCUAAAGAGGUAGGACACAAAAGCACAUUCAGUUGACUCCACAUCUGAGAAGUGACCAGUGAUUGGUACCAGGAAUGAGUUAGGUUCCCAACCCCAACACCAUCUCUCAGUGCAUCUGCAAAAAAAACCCACAAGUGUCAAUGAAUCUAACUGGAUGCAGGAUAAUGAGGAGAGGGUGGCCUAUUAAUUAUCAUGUGAAAAUAUAGCUAUAUAAUGCCAUUUUAUUAGAACUGGAAAGAUCCUUACAGAAUCUAGUUCAAUUUUUUUUUUCAUUUUAUAGACAGGAAUCUGGGCCAAAGAGUUGCAGGAAAUUGGCAAAGAUCAUACAACUAGUCUGUGGCAAAUUCAGUACUGGAACCUAAGACAUCUCCCUCCCAGUCCUGUGUUUGUUCUCCUCUAGUCCUCAUAGAAGGUGGACACUGCUGUGAUGAGCAAAAUCCAAUUCUAGAAGAUUUUGAUCAUGGCAGCCCGCACACUUGGGUUCUUAUAAAGUGAGAUGAUGGCAUUUCUGUCUGGUCUGUAGAUGUUUGGGAAACUGGUUGAUAUUCUUUACAAGUAAGAUUUCAAGCUAAAAUAGAUUUGUUAAUUUCUGUCCUAACCCCCUGUGGAUUGUUUCUAGAUUAUAUAGCUACCACACUAUUUGGCACAGCUGGGAUCCUCUUUUCAUGAAAUAGCAGGGAAGAUUGGUAGAUAAGAAUUAAAAAGCAUUGGCAGAGGAGACAGGGAGACUUACACAAUUACUUCCUACCCAGUGCCUUCCUGGUCUAGGAACUUCUUCCAGCCUCUUUUGGAGAGAGAGGAAUUUACUGUCUACUUGAUCAUGGUGGAUAAGCUUUUUGAUGUGCUGCUGGAUUUGGUUUGCCAGUAUUUUAUUGAGGAUUUUUGCAUCAAAAUGUGGCACAUAUACACCAUGGGAUACUAUGCAGCCAUAAAAACUGAUGAGUUCAUGUC